GUUUUCCGUAUGGGGAAUCUACCAAUGUCUGGCUAAAUUUGUGUCUCUUGUCUGAUCUUGGAAGCUAAGCAGGAUUUCAUCUGCUUAAUACUUGGAUGGGGGACCACCUGAGGAGACCACAUAAUGUAAACC
RNAcentral lists this ribosomal RNA (132 nucleotides) under Salvator merianae (Argentine black and white tegu). The record is from RNAcentral. Lineage: Eukaryota; Metazoa; Chordata; Lepidosauria; Squamata; Teiidae.